RNAcentral lists this ribosomal RNA (158 nucleotides) under uncultured bacterium. RNAcentral's name for it is "partial 16S ribosomal RNA". It matches the Rfam family "Bacterial small subunit ribosomal RNA", at positions 355 to 509 of the family's 1533-position model. The record is from RNAcentral.
UGAGGAAUAUUGGUCAAUGGGCGCUAGCCUGAACCAGCCAAGUAGCGUGAAGGAUGACUGCCCUAUGGGUUGUAAACUUCUUUUAUAUGGGAAUAAAGUGCAGUAUGUAUACUGCUUUGCAUGUACCUUAUGAAUAAGGAUCCGGCUAACUCCGUGCC